CCCGGCCACCGCCGGGGUCAGGCCCGGCCCCACCAGGCUGCGCGGGCCGCGGCGGAGCGGGGCCGGCCCGAGCGGGGCCCAGUUACCUCUCCAAGGCCAGAAACGAGAGAGAGAUUCCCCGGGCUUGCAGACCUACCUUCUAAAUGGUUUAAUAGGUUUUCAGUUCUCAGAGCUAGCCAGCUAUUGGUUUCUGCCCGGCACAGAGGAAGCUGUUAGCAGCUUCUCUCAGAAAAUUCAUUUCCAUGGGUGCCUUUGUCCAUCCACACCAAAUGUCAAUUAAUGCGAAACCAACACACACACGAAGAAAAGCCAAAAAGGUGGAGGUUUUGUACAGUUUUAAAGAAUUCCACUUCAAUUUGCAUUGCAGAUAUGAAGAGUUGAGAAAUAGAAGUGGUAGGAGUCCCAGUCAUCUAACUGAUUUGUAAUCUUUUAGCCAGAAGAAGGCAUUCUUCCAUCUUUCUCACUAAGAUCUUCAGGGAUUAGCUCCAUUUCAGGGGUAUGAAAACUGAUUUGAUAGAAAACCAGGUCCACAUUCCAUUUCCACAGAGUAAAUUCAGGAUCAUACAUUCUAUUCAUGAAGAAAAGACAAAAACAUCACCUCUGAUAUUCUACUCCUGUCAUCACAUCUGUAAAAGCAGAUUAGGAACACUUUGCUUUUGCAAAUUAAAUGCAAACCUGCUAGCUGCAGAAGGAACAUUGCACUAGAGCAUCAGACCUAUUGUCCACAGAAGGGAUCUUCAGUUAAUGUUCAACAUCACAGAAUACCAUCAAGGAAGAUCAGGAUGUCUUUCUCUCCCCUCUGGAGCUCUCGAUCCCUGUCCCAGAGAUGACCUAACAGGACAAGCCUGGACCAAUCCUGGACCAAUCCUUGGCCUUCCCCUUGGACUUCCCCAUGGAGAUACCCAGUUCCCCCAGCUGAUUCCUGGACUGCUCUGUGCCCUGGCUGGGAGCAGGCAGAGCAGACACUUCCAGCCAGGCUCCAUCCCACUGGCUUUGACUUUUGACAGUGGGAUUAGCCAUGGAGCCCGGUACUGACAUUCUAUGAGGAGGUCCCUUCACACCAGGUUCCAGGGCCAGGAGAGACACCAGCCCUCACGGUGCCCUGAUACAUGAUAACAAGCUUUAGCUUUUACCCAGUGAUGUUCUGACCAGAGUGGACUAAUAUUUUAGUUCUUUAUACAUAUUCCAUUUUAGUAACAAAUGGUACAUAAUACAUUUUAUUUUAUGAUGUAAAUAAGUGCUUGCAAUGCAUACCUUUUUUAUGUACAGCAUUUUUGCACUGCUUUCAACAUGAAGCUAAACUAAUCUGUUUGGAUGUCAAGUAUCUCAUUGUGGUUUCUUUUGCUGAUCUGUACCUAAUGUGUGCUAGGCAGAAUUCCUCAUACCAGGUCAUUCAAGGGAUGUAAGUCAGACACCAAGGAAUAUCAAAAGAGUUGGUUGGUUCUAUUUUAUCACUUCUUAGACACGUGGUGCUGUUCAUGGGUUAGCCAUGUUGGAUCCUGAAUUAGACUGAAAUUAUAAUCAUAGUCUAUCCUGUAAUCCUACCAUCCAUGGCACAGUACAGAUAGUAUCCUAUUAUUAGUUACUACCCUGGACUUUUCUGAUCAAAAUUAUGUGAGGAGAAAGAUUCACAUUUUGGGUUAAAUUUCUGAUGAUCACAUGUUGAAGGACAAUUGUGCAGCAUGGGUCAGAUGUGAAUGCUCUACAAAGACACAGAAGAAACCAAUUUUAUCUUUAAGAUUUAAAUUUGCUUAGAGAAAUUACCAUUAUGACAUAUUUUUUCCCUCUAUUCGCUCUCUCACUGCUUGCCUAAGUGCUUCAAACCUGAUUCUCUCCCAGUUGUAGAUAACAAUCACCAGGACCCCUGAACCUGAGUAUAAAACUCAUUUGGGCCAGAGCAGAGAAAGUAUGCAGCCUGAUUUUGAGAUUCUAGGUUGAGGUAGAAAUCCUGUCUGGAGUAAAAGUCUUGUGAACCUUUCCUUUAAAGAUGAUGACUUUCAAACUGAGAUUGCAUUCUUACCUAGGCACUCCUCUGAUGGGAAGUCUGCUUUAAUUUACUGCAACGAGAUAAUUCCUAAUCAGUUUAAGAGAAAAAAAAAACAAAGCAACAAAACAGAUCUUGCAGAAAAUGUUUUAAUGUCAGCAUGAGUCCUUUCCUUUAUGCAACUGUUCAUUUUAAUCCCAUCUUAAUAAAGACUGAUACAACUGUUUUAUAUAUAAAACU
Molecule: long non-coding RNA, 2224 nt
Organism: Cyanistes caeruleus (blue tit)
Lineage: Eukaryota; Metazoa; Chordata; Aves; Passeriformes; Paridae
Source: Ensembl